RNAcentral lists this ribosomal RNA (402 nucleotides) under bacterium. Its description in RNAcentral is "partial 16S ribosomal RNA". It matches the Rfam family "Bacterial small subunit ribosomal RNA", at positions 355 to 776 of the family's 1533-position model. The record is from RNAcentral.
UGGGGAAUUUUGCACAAUGGGGGAAACCCUGAUGCAGCGACGCCGCGUGAUUUAGAAGGCCUUCGGGUUGUAAAAAUCUUUUCUAUGGGAAGAAAAUGAUAGUACCAUAGGAAUAAGGACCGGCUAAUUACGUGCCAGCAGCCGCGGUAAUACGUAAGGUCCGAGCGUUGUCCGGAAUCAUUGGGCGUAAAGGGUACGUAGGCGGGUAAGCAAGUUAGAAGUGAAAUCCUAUAGCUCAACUAUAGUAAGCUUUUAAAACUGCUCAUCUUGAUGUAUGGAAGGGAAAGUGGAAUUCCUAUUGUAGCGGUGAAAUGCACAGAUAUUAGGAGGAAUACCGGUGGCGGCGGCGACUUUCUGGCCAUACCCUGACGCUGAGGUACGAAAGCGUGGGUAGCAAACAGG